ACUAUCGUUCGCGAGGGUACAUCUGUCAAUUUAAACAAUACAGAGAAAAUUAGCAUUGUUCUUGCAUAAAGAUGACACGCUCUACCAAGAAUUUACCGUUGAUAUG
This 106-nucleotide small nuclear RNA is filed under the name Metschnikowia bicuspidata var. bicuspidata NRRL YB-4993. The record is from RNAcentral. Lineage: Eukaryota; Fungi; Ascomycota; Pichiomycetes; Serinales; Metschnikowiaceae.